GACGAACGCUGGCGGCGUGCUUAACACAUGCAAGUCGAACGCUGAAGCCCUUUCGGGGGUGGAUGAGUGGCGAACGGGUGAGUAACACGUGGGUAAUCUGCCCUGCACUCUGGGAUAAGCCUUGGAAACGGGGUCUAAUACCGGAUAGGACACAUCGCCGCAUGGUGUGUGUGUGGAAAGUUCCGGCGGUGCAGGUUGAGCCCGCGGCCUAUAAGCUUGUUGGUGGGGUGAUGGCCUACCAAGGCGACGCCGGGUAGCCGGCCGGAGAGGGUGACCGGCCACACUGGGACUGAGACACGGCCCAGACGCCUACGGGAGGCAGCAGUGGGGAAUCUGGCGCAAUGGGCGAAAGCCUGACGCAGCAACGCCGCGUGGGGGAUGACGGCCUUCGGGUUGUAAACCUCUUUCGACCGGGACGAAGGGUGACUGACGGUACCGGUAGAAGAAGCACCGGCUAACUACGUGCCAGCCGCCGCCGUAA
This 481-nucleotide ribosomal RNA is filed under the name uncultured bacterium. RNAcentral's name for it is "partial 16S ribosomal RNA". It matches the Rfam family "Bacterial small subunit ribosomal RNA", at positions 28 to 523 of the family's 1533-position model. The record is from RNAcentral.